Molecule: ribosomal RNA, 245 nt
Filed under: uncultured bacterium
Lineage: Bacteria
Description: partial 16S ribosomal RNA
Rfam family: Bacterial small subunit ribosomal RNA
Source: RNAcentral
UACGAAGGGGGCUAGCGUUGUUCGGAAUUACUGGGCGUAAAGGGCGCGUAGGCGGCUUCGAUAGUCAGGCGUGAAAUCCCCAGGCUUAACUUGGGAAUUGCGCUUGAUACUGCGAGGCUUGAGUGAGGGAGAGGAUAGUGGAAUUCCCAGUGUAGAGGUGAAAUUCGUAGAUAUUGGGAAGAACACCAGUGGCGAAGGCGGCUAUCUGGACCUCAACUGACGCUGAGGCGCGAAAGCGUGGGGAG